This 164-nucleotide non-coding RNA is filed under the name human gut metagenome. The record is from RNAcentral.
CAUCGUGAGGUGCAGGCGAGAAGAAGGGAUAGCGAAAUCGUAGCCUGACGGACAGAAACUCGGUACGAAGGCGUAAUAGGCGGAUAAGUUGACGCAAAGCAACGAAGUCCCAAAGGUAACCGUAAACCUAUUAUGUAAACCGAGCAGGUAGACGAAGAAAGAGU